This 423-nucleotide ribosomal RNA is filed under the name uncultured bacterium. RNAcentral's name for it is "bacterial SSU rRNA". It matches the Rfam family "Bacterial small subunit ribosomal RNA", at positions 355 to 775 of the family's 1533-position model. The record is from RNAcentral.
UAAGGAAUAUCGGUCAAUGGACGCAAGUCUGAACCAGCCAUGCCGCGUGGAGGAUUAAGGCCCUCUGGGUUGUAAACUCCUUUUAUCUGGGAAGAAAUGCCAAUUUUCUAAUUGGUUUGACGGUACCAGAGGAAUAAGCACCGGCUAACUCCGUGCCAGCAGCCGCGGUAAUACGGAGGGUGCAAGCGUUAUCCGGAUUCACUGGGUUUAAAGGGUGCGUAGGCGGGCAGGUAAGUCCGUGGUGAAAUCUCUGAGCUUAACUCAGAAACUGCCAUGGAUACUAUUUGUCUUGAAUACUGUGGAGGUGAGCGGAAUAUGUCAUGUAGCGGUGAAAUGCUUAGAUAUGACAUAGAACACCAAUUGCGAAGGCAGCUCACUACACAAAUAUUGACGCUGAGGCACGAAAGCGUGGGGAUCAAACAG